Molecule: ribosomal RNA, 460 nt
Filed under: uncultured bacterium
Lineage: Bacteria
Description: partial 16S ribosomal RNA
Rfam family: Bacterial small subunit ribosomal RNA
Source: RNAcentral
CCUACGGGUGGCAGCAGUGAGGAAUAUUGGUCAAUGGACGAGAGUCUGAACCAGCCAAGUAGCGUGAAGGAUGACUGCCCUAUGGGUUGUAAACUUCUUUUAUAAAGGAAUAAAACGAGGCACGUGUGCCUUUUUGUAUGUACUUUAUGAAUAAGGAUCGGCUAACUCCGUGCCAGCAGCCGCGGUAAUACGGAGGAUCCGAGCGUUAUCCGGAUUUAUUGGGUUUAAAGGGAGCGUAGAUGGGUUGUUAAGUCAGUUGUGAAAGUUUGCGGAUCAACCGUAAAAUUGCAAUUGAUACUGGCAGUCUUGAGUACAGUUGAGGUAGGCGGAAUUCGUGGUGUAGCGGUGAAAUGCUUAGAUAUCACGAAGAACCCCGAUUGCGAAGGCAGCUUACUAAACUGUGACUGACAUUGAUGCUCGAAAGUGUGGGUAUCAAACAGGAUUAGAUACCCGAGUAGUC